Molecule: ribosomal RNA, 485 nt
Filed under: uncultured bacterium
Lineage: Bacteria
Description: partial 16S ribosomal RNA
Rfam family: Bacterial small subunit ribosomal RNA
Source: RNAcentral
AGUGAACGCUGGCGGCGUGCUUAACACAUGCAAGUCGAACGAGAACGGAAUAUAGCUUGCUAUAUUUGUCAGCUAAGUGGCGCACGGGUGAGUAAUGUAUAGAUAACCCGCCCUUAAGAAAGGAAUAACAGUUGGAAACGACUGCUAAUGCCCUAUAUGCCUUUAAUACAUAAGUAUGCAAGGGAAACGCUUUAGUGCUUAAGGAUGGGUCUGUAUGGUAUCAGCUUGUUGGUGAGGUAAUGGCUCACCAAGGCUAUGACGCCUAACUGGUUUGAGAGGAUGAUCAGUCACACUGGAACUGAGACACGGUCCAGACUCCUACGGGAGGCAGCAGUGGGGAAUAUUGCACAAUGGACGAAAGUCUGAUGCAGCAACGCCGCGUGGAGGAUGACACAUUUCGGUGCGUAAACUCCUUUUAUAUAGGAAGAUAAUGACGGUACUAUAUGAAUAAGCACCGGCUAACUCCGUGCCAGCAGCCGCGGUAA